Molecule: ribosomal RNA, 1466 nt
Filed under: Leuconostoc mesenteroides subsp. mesenteroides
Lineage: Bacteria; Bacillati; Bacillota; Bacilli; Lactobacillales; Lactobacillaceae
Description: bacterial SSU rRNA
Rfam family: Bacterial small subunit ribosomal RNA
Source: RNAcentral
CUGGCGGCGUGCCUAAUACAUGCAAGUCGAACGCACAGCGAAAGGUGCUUGCACCUUUCAAGUGAGUGGCGAACGGGUGAGUAACACGUGGACAACCUGCCUCAAGGCUGGGGAUAACAUUUGGAAACAGAUGCUAAUACCGAAUAAAACUUAGUGUCGCAUGACACAAAGUUAAAAGGCGCUUCGGCGUCACCUAGAGAUGGAUCCGCGGUGCAUUAGUUAGUUGGUGGGGUAAAGGCCUACCAAGACAAUGAUGCAUAGCCGAGUUGAGAGACUGAUCGGCCACAUUGGGACUGAGACACGGCCCAAACUCCUACGGGAGGCUGCAGUAGGGAAUCUUCCACAAUGGGCGAAAGCCUGAUGGAGCAACGCCGCGUGUGUGAUGAAGGCUUUCGGGUCGUAAAGCACUGUUGUAUGGGAAGAACAGCUAGAAUAGGAAAUGAUUUUAGUUUGACGGUACCAUACCAGAAAGGGACGGCUAAAUACGUGCCAGCAGCCGCGGUAAUACGUAUGUCCCGAGCGUUAUCCGGAUUUAUUGGGCGUAAAGCGAGCGCAGACGGUUUAUUAAGUCUGAUGUGAAAGCCCGGAGCUCAACUCCGGAAUGGCAUUGGAAACUGGUUAACUUGAGUGCAGUAGAGGUAAGUGGAACUCCAUGUGUAGCGGUGGAAUGCGUAGAUAUAUGGAAGAACACCAGUGGCGAAGGCGGCUUACUGGACUGCAACUGACGUUGAGGCUCGAAAGUGUGGGUAGCAAACAGGAUUAGAUACCCUGGUAGUCCACACCGUAAACGAUGAACACUAGGUGUUAGGAGGUUUCCGCCUCUUAGUGCCGAAGCUAACGCAUUAAGUGUUCCGCCUGGGGAGUACGACCGCAAGGUUGAAACUCAAAGGAAUUGACGGGGACCCGCACAAGCGGUGGAGCAUGUGGUUUAAUUCGAAGCAACGCGAAGAACCUUACCAGGUCUUGACAUCCUUUGAAGCUUUUAGAGAUAGAAGUGUUCUCUUCGGAGACAAAGUGACAGGUGGUGCAUGGUCGUCGUCAGCUCGUGUCGUGAGAUGUUGGGUUAAGUCCCGCAACGAGCGCAACCCUUAUUGUUAGUUGCCAGCAUUCAGAUGGGCACUCUAGCGAGACUGCCGGUGACAAACCGGAGGAAGGCGGGGACGACGUCAGAUCAUCAUGCCCCUUAUGACCUGGGCUACACACGUGCUACAAUGGCGUAUACAACGAGUUGCCAACCCGCGAGGGUGAGCUAAUCUCUUAAAGUACGUCUCAGUUCGGAUUGUAGUCUGCAACUCGACUACAUGAAGUCGGAAUCGCUAGUAAUCGCGGAUCAGCACGCCGCGGUGAAUACGUUCCCGGGUCUUGUACACACCGCCCGUCACACCAUGGGAGUUUGUAAUGCCCAAAGCCGGUGGCCUAACCUUUUAGGAAGGAGCCGUCUAAGGCAGGACAGAUGACUGGGGUGA